AAAGCCCCUUCGGGGGUAAGUAGAGUGGCGUCCGGGUGAGUAACACGUGGGUAAUCUGCCUUCGGGUGGGGAAUAACCCAGGGAAACUUGGGCUAAUACCGCAUAAUGCAGCGGCACCUAAUGGUGAUUAGUUGUUAAAGCGGGGGAUCGCAAGACCUCGCGCCUGAAGAGGAGCCUGCGGCAGAUUAGCUAGUUGGUGAGGUAAUGGCUCACCAAGGCUUCGAUCUGUAGCUGGUCUGAGAGGACGGCCAGCCACACUGGCACUGACACACGGGCCAGACUCCUACGGGAGGCAGCAGUGGGGAAUUUUGGGCAAUGGGCGAAAGCCUGACCCAGCAACGCCGCGUGAGGGAGGAAAUCCUUCGGGAUGUAAACCUCACAAGCAAGGGAAGAGAGCUACGGGCUGAAUAAUCCCGUAGUGCGACGGUACCUUGCGUAAGCCACGGCUAACUACGUGCCAGCAGCCGCGGUAAUACGUAGGUGGCAAGCGUUGUUCGGAAUUAUUGGGCGUAAAGGGCGCGUAGGCGGUUUGUUAAGUCGGCUGUGAAAGCCCGGGGCUCAACCCCGGAGGGUCAGCCGAUACUGGCAGACUAGAGUACGGAAGAGGUAGCUGGAAUUCCCGGUGUAGCGGUGAAAUGCGUAGAUAUCGGGAGGAACACCUGAGGCGAAGGCGGGCUACUGGGCCGAUACUGACGCUGAUGCGCGAAAGCCAGGGGAGCGAACGGGAUUAGAUACCCCGGUAGUCCUGGCCCUAAACGAUGGACACUUGGUGUGUCGGGUAUUCCAGUCCCGAUGUGCCGGAGCUAACGCGUUAAGUGUCCCGCCUGGGGAGUACGGUCGCAAGGCUG
Molecule: ribosomal RNA, 848 nt
Filed under: uncultured Actinomycetes bacterium
Lineage: Bacteria; Bacillati; Actinomycetota; Actinomycetes
Description: bacterial SSU rRNA
Rfam family: Bacterial small subunit ribosomal RNA
Source: RNAcentral